ACAGCGGAUUAGUGUCUCCGUGCUGCUAUGUCUUCUGGGAUCAGCAGGACCCAGCCUCCUGCCCCGCCCUGGGACGCGGAGCGGUGACCUCCAGGCGCGGGGAGUCGUGUUCUCAGACUUGUCAGCAUUUCAGCACCCAGUUAUGACAUGUCACGUGGGCUACUACUGGUAAAAAUGUGAGCAUCCAGAUGAGUGCAUUUUUCACUUUUAAAGGGAGACUGCCAAUCGGAGUUAUUCAUCAACCUGGCCACAAUAAUCGGUUGAUGGAUCAGCUUGUGAUGCAAGCAAAGCCAGUUAGAGUCUUCCCUGAGACUGGCCGCAUGGAUGCUAUGAUAAAGAGGGUCACUUUUUCUUUGAUGUUCAUAAGCCACAACAA
This is a long non-coding RNA of Symphalangus syndactylus (siamang), 376 nucleotides long. RefSeq lists it as uncharacterized. The record is from RefSeq and is a predicted model, not a curated record. NCBI's taxonomy places the organism in Eukaryota, Metazoa, Chordata, Mammalia, Primates, Hylobatidae.